RNAcentral lists this ribosomal RNA (253 nucleotides) under uncultured bacterium. RNAcentral describes it as "partial 16S ribosomal RNA". It matches the Rfam family "Bacterial small subunit ribosomal RNA", at positions 524 to 776 of the family's 1533-position model. The record is from RNAcentral.
UAUGGAGGGUGCGAGCGUUGUCCGGAAUCACUGGGCGUAAAGGGCGCGUAGGUGGCACGGGUAGUCGUCGGUGAAAGCUCAGGGCUCAACCCUGAGUCGGCCGGUGAUACUCCCGAGCUCGAGUGUGGUAGAGGCCAAUGGAAUUCCGGGUGUAGCGGUGGAAUGCGUAGAGAUCCGGAAGAACACCGGUGGCGAAGGCGGUUGGCUGGGCCACAACUGACACUGAUGCGCGAAAGCUAGGGGAGCGAACGGG